GAGUUUGAUCUUGGCUCAGAACGAACGCUGGCGGCAUGCCUAACACAUGCAAGUCGAACGAGAUCUUCGGAUCUAGUGGCGCACGGGUGCAUAACGCGUGGGAAUCUGCCCUUGGGUGCGGAAUAACUUCUCGAAAGGGAUGCUAAUACCGCAUAAUGUCGUAAGACCAAAGAUUUAUCGCCCAAGGAUGAGCCCGCGUAAGAUUAGCUAGUUGGUGGGGUAAAAGACCGUACCAAGGCGACGAUCUUUAGUCUGGUCUGAGAGGAUGAUCAGCCACACUGGGACUGAGACACGGCCCA
Molecule: ribosomal RNA, 299 nt
Filed under: uncultured microorganism
Description: partial 16S ribosomal RNA
Rfam family: Bacterial small subunit ribosomal RNA
Source: RNAcentral